AGAGUUGAUCCUGGCUCAGGAUGAACGCUGGCGGCGUGCCUAAUACAUGCAAGUCGAACGAGGUAGCAAUACCGAGUGGCGAACGGGUGAGUAACACGUAGGUAACCUGCCCUUAAGCUUGGGAUACCCAGAGGAAACUUGGCUAAUACCGGAUAACAACAGAGAAGGCAUCUUCUUUGCUUGAAAGGCCCCUUCAAGGGUCACUUAAGGAUGGACCUGCGGCGCAUUAGCUAGUUGGUGAGAUAACAGCCCACCAAGGCGAGGAUGCGUAGCCGAACUGAGAGGUUGAUCGGCCACAUUGGAACUGAGACACGGUCCAAACUCCUACGGGAGGCAGCAGUAAGGAGUUUUCGGCAAUGGGGGAAACCCUGACCGAGCAACGCCGCGUGAGCGAUGACGGCCCUAUGGGUUGUUAAAAAGCUCUGUUGUAAGCCAUGAAUGAUAGCUUGAGGAAAUGCAAGCUAUUUGACGACAGCUUACCAGAAGGCCACGGCUAACUACGUGCCAGCCGCUGC
This 515-nucleotide ribosomal RNA is filed under the name uncultured bacterium. RNAcentral's name for it is "bacterial SSU rRNA". It matches the Rfam family "Bacterial small subunit ribosomal RNA", at positions 8 to 518 of the family's 1533-position model. The record is from RNAcentral.